CAAAAAUGAAAUCAGUAGCUUAGCAUGAGGGGAAUCCUUGAAAAGAGAGAGGGCUCAUUCUUCUCGCCAGUGAAAGAAUAUGAUUGAUUUUGUGUGCUCUCUUACUUGAAAGCAGACGAGCUUCUGUUUAAAGCAAAUAAUGUGAUAGAUGGAAGAUGCAAGGCUCAGCAAAAAAAAAAAAAAAGACAAGCACUGGUGUCCUCAGGAGGUGUGACGUUGCCUGGACAAAAAAAGAAGAAAAAGAAUCGAGAAGCUAGGUGAAGCUGGUACAGAGUGAAACAUCUGCAGAGUAUGAGAGUCCAGAUGCAAUAGACACAGCCUCCCUGUGCACUGUGCCCCACUAUUCUGCACCGCAACAAGAAC
Non-coding RNA from Pelobates cultripes (western spadefoot toad), 363 nucleotides. The record is from the annotation of a GenBank genome assembly. NCBI's taxonomy places the organism in Eukaryota, Metazoa, Chordata, Amphibia, Anura, Pelobatidae.